This 497-nucleotide ribosomal RNA is filed under the name uncultured bacterium. RNAcentral's name for it is "partial 16S ribosomal RNA". It matches the Rfam family "Bacterial small subunit ribosomal RNA", at positions 28 to 507 of the family's 1533-position model. The record is from RNAcentral.
GAUGAACGCUGGCGGCGUGCCUAAUACAUGCAAGUCGAGCGAACAGAUGAGGAGCUUGCUCCUCUGACGUUAGCGGCGGACGGGUGAGUAACACGUGGAUAACCUACCUAUAAGACUGGGAUAACUUCGGGAAACCGGAGCUAAUACCGGAUAAUAUAUUGAACCGCAUGGUUCAAUAGUGAAAGACGGUUUUGCUGUCACUUAUAGAUGGAUACGCGCCGCAUUAGCUAGUUGGUAAGGUAACGGCUUACCAAGGCAACGAUGCGUAGCCGACCUGAGAGGGUGAACGGCCACACUGGAACGGAGACACGGUCCAGACUCCUACGGGAGGCAGCAGUCGGGAAUCUUCCGCAAAGGGCGAAAGCCUGACGGAGCAAAGCCGCGUGAGUGAUGAAGGUCUUCGGAUCGUAAAACUCUGUUAUUAGGGAAGAACAAAUGUGUAAGUAACUAUGCACGUCUUGACGGUACCUAAUCAGAAAGCCACGGCUAACUCCGUG